Molecule: ribosomal RNA, 581 nt
Filed under: uncultured bacterium
Lineage: Bacteria
Description: partial 16S ribosomal RNA
Rfam family: Bacterial small subunit ribosomal RNA
Source: RNAcentral
UGGGAAUUUGGACAAUGGGCGAAGCCUGAUCCAGCAAUGCCGCGUGUGUGAAGAAGGCCUUCGGGUUGUAAAGCACUUUUGUCCGGAAAGAAAUCCUUGGCUCUAAUACAGUCGGGGGAUGACGGUACCGGAAGAAUAAGCACCGGCUAACUACGUGCCAGCAGCCGCGGUAAUACGUAGGGUGCAAGCGUUAAUCGGAAUUACUGGGCGUAAAGCGUGCGCAGGCGGUUUGCUAAGACCGAUGUGAAAUCCCCGGGCUCAACCUGGGAACUGCAUUGGUGACUGGCAGGCUAGAGUAUGGCAGAGGGGGGUAGAAUUCCACGUGUAGCAGUGAAAUGCGUAGAGAUGUGGAGGAAUACCGAUGGCGAAGGCAGCCCCCUGGGCCAAUACUGACGCUCAUGCACGAAAGCGUGGGGAGCAAACAGGAUUAGAUACCCUGGUAGUCCACGCCCUAAACGAUGUCAACUAGUUGUUGGGGAUUCAUUCCUUAGUAACGUAGCUAACGCGUGAAGUUGACCGCCUGGGGAGUACGGUCGCAAGAUUAAAACUUAAAGGAAUUGACGGGGUCAUAGCUGUUUCCU